GUCCCUUCCUCACCAAACAGUACCAGAACUAUCUCCCCUCCACCCCCAGUGUGUCAAUGAAAACUGACAAUCAUAGCAGCCUCUCCCUUCCUUCUGCUGGAUCAGUGUCAGGGGAAGAGAAGCAAAGCUGAGGUUUAAGUCACACAAAUCUGCUGGGAGAAAUCAGUUGGAAGCUCCAUGACUUGUCUCUCCUGGACCCUGACUUAUCCAGCUUUUCUUGUUACUCAUUUUUAUCUGCAUUUUUUCUCUAUAAUAAAUCAUAUUGUGAGCUGCUGCAUGACCAUAAAAAUGGAGUUUGGUGAGUUCUAGUGAAUCACUGGAAUUGGAGGUGGCCUGAGGAAACUUCUGGGUUAAAGUAUAUGAUAACCUCUUAUUCUAACAAAUCAUCACGUAGUGUUACACAAGUUGACUUCAUAAGCUGGUUCUGCAUAUACUCUCUUCAGUGACACAAGGGCUUCACCUUGGAACUCAGAGGGGAAGAAAUCUCGCACCUGGGGAUAGUCAGGAGACCCAGGCAGCUGCAGCUCUGUCUCCCAGCCUUGGGAACAAUGCCUGGCCCGAGGCCAGGGUCGCCUGCCACCAGCUCAAUCAGCAUUCUGCUUCCUAGGAAGUAUGCUGCUGUUGUCCUUGCUCAGGAUGCCAUGGAUGACACCCAUGUAAGACAGUGAACUCAAUUGGUAACUGUGUGUACUUUGUGCAUUGACUGGUAAUCCCCCACUGCACCCCCAUCUCUCUUUCCUCAAACCUUCCCCUAGGGUCCAACAAUAUUGAAAUUAGACCAAUAACUAAGCCUACAAUGGCCUGUAAGAGUUCAAGGUAAAGGAAAAGUGAAUUGAUGCAGCAACCUUCCUGCUGUCUUAUUUUAACAACUUCCCACUGUUAAUGGACCUCAGGACAGGAUAUACAUAAAUUUUCUAAGGUUGGGAAACCAAAAUAUUCAUGUGACUUGCUUUAUUGAGAUAUUGUUUGAUUGUGGUGAUCUGGAGACAAUUCUGAAAUAUCUCUGAGGUGUGCUUGUAUCAGAAAGUUCUUAUCCUAGAGAGUU
Long non-coding RNA from Talpa occidentalis (Iberian mole), 1045 nucleotides. RefSeq lists it as uncharacterized. The record is from RefSeq and is a predicted model, not a curated record. The transcript is spliced from 5 exons. Lineage: Eukaryota; Metazoa; Chordata; Mammalia; Eulipotyphla; Talpidae.